UGAGCAAUCUGCCCUUCUCUUUGGAAUAAGCGUUGGAAACGACGUCUAAUGCCGAAUACGACCUCCUUUCGCAUGAUUGGAGGUGGAAAGCUCCGGCGGAGAAGGAUGAGCUCGCGGCCUAUCAGCUAGUUGGUGUGGGUAAUGGCCCACCAAGGCGACGACGGGUAGCCGGCCUGAGAGGGUGACCGGCCACACUGGGACUGAGACACGGCCCAGACUCCUACGGGAGGCAG
Molecule: ribosomal RNA, 233 nt
Filed under: uncultured bacterium
Lineage: Bacteria
Description: partial 16S ribosomal RNA
Rfam family: Bacterial small subunit ribosomal RNA
Source: RNAcentral